AUUGAACGCUGGCGGCAUGCUUUACACAUGCAAGUCGAACGGUAACAGGUUAAGCUGACGAGUGGCGAACGGGUGAGUAAUGCAUCGGAACGUGCCCGGUCGUGGGGGAUAACGCAGCGAAAGCUGCGCUAAUACCGCAUACGAUCUGAGGAUGAAAGCGGGGGACCGUAAGGCCUCGCGCGAUCGGAGCGGCCGAUGUCAGAUUAGGUAGUUGGUGGGGUAAAGGCUCACCAAGCCGACGAUCUGUAGCUGGUCUGAGAGGACGACCAGCCACACUGGGACUGGGACACGGCCCAGACUCCGACGGGAGGGAGCAGUGGGGAAUUUUGGACAAUGGGCGCAAGCCUGAUCCAGCAAUGCCGCGUGCAGGAAGAAGGCCUUCGGGUUGUAAACUGCUUUUGUACGGAGCGAAAAGGCCCUCUCUAAUACAGGGGGCUCAUGACGGUACCGUAAGAAUAAGCACCGGCUAACUACGUGCCAGCAGCCGCAGUAA
This 493-nucleotide ribosomal RNA is filed under the name uncultured bacterium. RNAcentral's name for it is "partial 16S ribosomal RNA". It matches the Rfam family "Bacterial small subunit ribosomal RNA", at positions 29 to 523 of the family's 1533-position model. The record is from RNAcentral.